UACGGAGGGUGCGAGCGUUGUCCGGAAUCACUGGGCGUAAAGGGCGCGUAGGCGGCGAGGAUAGUCAACGGUGAAAGCUUGGGGCUCAACCCCGAGUCGGCCGUCGAUACUUCCUUGCUUGAGCACUGUAGAGGCAGAUGGAAUUCCGGGUGUAGCGGUGGAAUGCGUAGAGAUCCGGAAGAACACCGGUGGCGAAGGCGGUCUGCUGGGCGAGACACUGGACGCUCAUGCACGAAAGCGUGGGGAGCAAAC
RNAcentral lists this ribosomal RNA (252 nucleotides) under uncultured bacterium. RNAcentral describes it as "partial 16S ribosomal RNA". It matches the Rfam family "Bacterial small subunit ribosomal RNA", at positions 524 to 773 of the family's 1533-position model. The record is from RNAcentral.